CCUACGGGUGGCAGCAGUGGGGAAUAUUGCACAAUGGGCGCAAGCCUGAUGCAGCCAUGCCGCGUGUGUGAAGAAGGCCUUCGGGUUGUAAAGCACUUUCAGCGGGGAGGAAGGCGUUAAGGUUAAUAACCUUGUCGAUUGACGUUACCCGCAGAAGAAGCACCGGCUAACUCCGUGCCAGCAGCCGCGGUAAUACGGAGGGUGCAAGCGUUAAUCGGAAUUACUGGGCGUAAAGCGCACGCAGGCGGUCUGUCAAGUCGGAUGUGAAAUCCCCGGGCUCAACCUGGGAACUGCAUUCGAAACUGGCAGGCUAGAGUCUUGUAGAGGGGGGUAGAAUUCCAGGUGUAGCGGUGAAAUGCGUAGAGAUCUGGAGGAAUACCGGUGGCGAAGGCGGCCCCCUGGACAAAGACUGACGCUCAGGUGCGAGAGCGUGGGGAGCAAACAGGAUUAGAUACCCCAGUAGUC
RNAcentral lists this ribosomal RNA (465 nucleotides) under uncultured Klebsiella sp. RNAcentral's name for it is "bacterial SSU rRNA". It matches the Rfam family "Bacterial small subunit ribosomal RNA", at positions 338 to 795 of the family's 1533-position model. The record is from RNAcentral. Lineage: Bacteria; Pseudomonadati; Pseudomonadota; Gammaproteobacteria; Enterobacterales; Enterobacteriaceae.